CCUUCUGCAGCUGAAUGCCUGCCCUCUGAUGGUGCACAUCAUGCAUCUGAUGAAGAGAAGAAGAUGGAGGAAUUAAGUUUUGAAGUCAUGCUUGACAUUCUGGAUCUGAU
Strigops habroptila (Kakapo) is the source of this 110-nucleotide long non-coding RNA. RefSeq lists it as uncharacterized. NCBI's taxonomy places the organism in Eukaryota, Metazoa, Chordata, Aves, Psittaciformes, Psittacidae. The transcript has 3 exons. The record is from RefSeq and is a predicted model, not a curated record.